AAAACUGAACCGAUACACGACAAACAACGAAAAACAUUGAAGAGGAGAACACACUCGAGGCUCGUUUUAUCUGGAUGCCGCCUCCUUCCGUCCCUCCUUCCUUUUUCAUUUUCUUCGCGUACGAGUGUCUGUGCGUUGUGUGCGUGUGCGCGCUCUCUAUCUCUGAGAGCCGGUAACUCGUGCGGCAUUCACAGAGCUGUUCUGCAGCACGGACAAGCAAGCAGAUUGCACGCGCUCUGCUUCACAUAGGCACACUCACAGGAGAGGAGGCUCCGGGGCUUGAGCUCACGCCACUGCAUUGGAAAAAGAAACACGCGUCUGUAUCCGGCAUUGCCCACACGAAAAUCUCUUUGGCUCGUUGCAGUUGUUCUUCGGUUCUCCCCCACCCCCGCCCGCUUCUUCUCCGUCUCCUCUGUGGCACGCUUGUUGAUUUCUCUUUGCGCGGGGAGGGGAGGUCUUUCGUUGCUGUGUUUCAUCUUUUCUUGUGUUGUUGCUGUCGCUCUUCGUUGUCGCGGGUGGUGGUGGUUGCUGAGAACGUCUUGGAACACAAAAGCGCAGACGCCCGGGGAUAGAGAGAGUUGCUUCUAUUCGAUCGCAUCGUGCAGCCGGUGCCUAUCACUGACGCACAGGCGAAAACGUGAAACCACGCUGGCCUUCGCGUUGCGCGACUGCAUUCUUGUUUUUUUCAGUCUUGUUCUCCUUACCGCGUGCCCAGGACGCGUCAUCAUCAAGUGUUCUUCUUCGCGAUGUUUCCAUCACCGGUGAGCGGGCUCCCGGCCACCACCCUCCUUGCCAAGGUCGAUGUCGCUCCCCAGUUGGCGGACAUCCACAAGGAGUUUGCGCCUCUUCUACGCCUCUCCGGCAUAUGCGCGGCGAGUAGCGGCAGCACCGCUGUGGGGCCCAACGGCACCAGCUCCGGAGCUGGGGUGAGCAACGGCGGGCUAUCCGGCAGCGAGGAGGAGGACCUGCGCGGCAGGCGCAGUCCAGCCGCGUCUCCUGUGCGCACCGUCGAUAGCCGGCUCGCCGAGCUCAUGGCCCCGGUCAUGGUGACGUUGCCGCCGCCGAUGUCCAAGGAGGAUGCUGCCUCGAUUGCUCAUUACGUGCGCCGCUUCCAUGUGCAGGAGGAGUACGAGCGCUCUUACGUCGCUCUCAUCUUCCAGGAGUACAAGAAGCGGAAGAGCAUGGAGCAGAAGUGGGAGAGUGACUUGGCGUCGUGGCGGAGUGAACUGAAGCAGCUGCAGCAGAGGGAGCUGCCGCCUGAGGUGCGCGCUGCCGCGAGUGUCAUCGUAUCCGAAGAAGCGGCAGCCCGGAAGGCGGUACACGACGCUUACGAUAAGUUCCUGAAGUGGGUCGAGGAGACGGUGCCGCAGUGGAUUGAAACAGCGCAGCGGCAGGAGCAGCGGCGGGUGGACAACGAAAAUGCGAAGAAGGCCGCUAUGGCGGCCGCGCGAGAGGCGCUAGCGCAUGAGCUAGCCAUGGGGAAACGCCUGAGCGACGUGAACGACCGCACUUCCUUCCAGAACACCGGCGCGGUGACGGGACUCAAAGAGGACGGCACCCUCUCCUAUGAGCCGGCUGUCUCCGUGGAAACACAGGUGCAGGCGUCUCGCGAGGCCACUGAGGCGCUUUCUCCGACGGAACUGCGCCGCAAGGCCAUCCGCAUGCUGGAGGCAGAGGAGGCGGAAAUGAAGCGCCGCCGCGAGGAGCAGCUGCGCCUGCUGCGCGUGCAGGAAGAGCAGUUGCGCGCAGAGAUAGCUCUCAAGGAAAAGUACAAGCAGGAGGAGGCUGAGCGACGCCAGCGCGAAGCUGAGCAGAAACGGAAGGACGAACUGGCGCGGCGCUAUGAUGCGCUGCUGAAAGAAGAAUUUACCCUGCAGAGCCGUAUGCGGGAACGAGAGGAGAUGGAGGUGCGGCAGGAGGCGGAGCGACGCGCAAAGUUGGCACAGGUGGCAGCCGAAGAGGAGGAGCUGCGGCGGCGCAUACAAGAGACAGAGGACCGCCGUAAGGCUUCGGAGGAGGAGGCGGCGCGUGUGGCGCGGGAUAAGAAGAUGCGCGAAGUACGCGAGAAGGAAGAAAUGCUGCGGCAGCGCAUCGCGGAGCGCGCCGCAGCCGCGGAGGCGGAGCGACUCGAGCGGGAAGCUGAGGCCCGCAUCCACGCUGAGGCCGAAGCGGUGCGUGCUCAACAAGAGGAGGCGCUUCGUCAGGCCAGAAUGCAACAGGAAGAAAGGGAGAAGAAACAACAACUUGCCUACUUGCGCGAUCAGGAGGAGGCGUACAAACGGCGCAUCCGAGAGAAGGAGCUGGCCGAGAUCGAGAAGAAGAGACUUGCCGCGGAGUCGCAGUGGCAGCACAGAGCAUCGACCACGUCAGCCUUGGCCGCCCACUCUGUCUCCUCGACGUCCGCCACCCCAAUCGUCAUGCCGCCAGCUGCCGCCCUUCCAGCCCCGCACUUGAUGGCGCCGCAAAUUCCCAUGAGCUCGUACACCACUGUCAUGCCCUCGAACGUAUACCAGCCGAUACCGGCGGCACCGGCACCCUCUGCGGUAGCACCUGGUGGCUGCUACCUCUACCCCAACCCAGUGGCAACAGUCGUGCCAACAGCGGGAAUGCCGCCGCCUUCACGCCCUGAGUACGGCGUCUAUCCUUUCGCCCAGCCGCCGUGCGUACCGGUGGCCCAACAAUACCCUCAGCCCUACCCGCCCGCUACCGUAGGGUACUACCCGGGUGUACCGCAAGGCGGAGCUCCACCAGGGGUGAUGACGCUGCAGACUUCGCCAUACUCGCCUGCGGCCAUGCAUACUCUCUAAGAGGAAUCCCGGGCUGUUUGACGGACGUGACCCUCGCGGUACACGCAGCGCGUAAUAGCCGGUAUGCCAUCUCUUCCUUGCUUCUCCGUUUCCAUGCAACCGUGCUGCUGUGGUGGGGUGGACUUACCACCUUGCGCUGCCGUGUUCUCUGCGGCAGCAUCUUUGCUUGUUUUACACGUGUGUACAUGCACUUCCAUGGCGUCUUGUCUUCUGCUCUCUCCUUCUCGCUCCCGCCAACGCUCCUUUCGUGGCUACCGCGGCCAGUAUCAUCUGCUCUUUCCAGUUAUUUCUGUCUUCUCCGCCUUGAAUAGUGCUCUCGCACCGCAGUGUUGUUGCGUUCGUUUGUGCUGCUGUCCUUUGCUGUGGCCGAUAUUAGGCGUGCGCGCCGGUGCAGUCUCCAGCGCACACUUUUCUUUUUACUGUCUAUUCCAUCAUUUCUACCUUUAUUUUUCCUUGCGUUUUGCUGUUGUUUUCAAGCAACGAGGAGUUGGCUGCGUGCGCGCAAGCACACACAC
This 3322-nucleotide unclassified non-coding RNA is filed under the name Leishmania donovani. Its description in RNAcentral is "gene:LdHU3.27.1970(CDS-product:hypothetical_prote in_conserved)". The record is from RNAcentral. Lineage: Eukaryota; Euglenozoa; Kinetoplastea; Trypanosomatida; Trypanosomatidae.